Molecule: long non-coding RNA, 1722 nt
Filed under: Schizosaccharomyces pombe (fission yeast)
Lineage: Eukaryota; Fungi; Ascomycota; Schizosaccharomycetes; Schizosaccharomycetales; Schizosaccharomycetaceae
Source: RNAcentral
ACUAAAGAGAUCAGCAGAAAUAGUUGCCACGAGACAAUAGGGAACAUUUUCCGACUUAAUAUCACAGCCUUUAUAAUUCACAAUAUUUCAGUUAAUGAACUACCGGUCUUUCGGUGAGUGUGCUGCUACGAGACGAUGUAUCGUCAUAAUCAUACUCCCGCUCCUGGUUAUUCACACUAGGUGCAGUAGAACCACCAACAUUAUUUAUACUGGGGGCCGUCACUAACGAAAAUGACGAGACGGCAUCGUCACUAAAGCUUGGAGGGACCCUGGGUGAGUCAACAGACUUCCUGACGUUUGAAAGAGAUGGUGCAUCAGUAUCAUGAUGUACAGCAUUGCCGUCCUGUGGAAGCAACGUGGAAGGCAAAUUUUGAGCUUCAGAAAUAACUGUAGUAGUAUGUGUCAUAUCAAUGGGAGCAUCGCUAUGGACAAAUCGACUAGGAUUUUCAGCAUUCUCUAAGGGCACAUCAUUAUGAACAAAACGAUCUUCACCAUCUUGAACUUUAGUGGGGUCGUAUGCAAGGGCAGAAUCAUCAACAUCAGUUAAUUUAGGGGCGUUCAAUUGCAGAGGGGAAGCGGCAGCAUUAGUAGGUUCGACAACUUCCGGUGCAAGAUUGACGGGUUUCUCAAGAGGUGCUGGUGUUACAGGCGUGCGAGCGGGUGUUAAGUCCGAGUUUUCGUACAUCUUUGGUUCAGGCUUAGGGAGGGCAGUAAUAUUAGCGUCGUUUUCUGAAGGCUGUGAAGAAGAAGUUCCUCGUUGUUGUUCUAAGUCGGACGUUUUAGGAAGUGAUUUUUGAUUCUUGGCGACAUGAAGGUAGUGACCAUACAUAUACAUAUGUAAAAAUGCGAUCCAUGGUGUCAAAACGAAACCUUCACCACCACCAAAAAUCAGCUUGAACACUUGAGGUGCCGGAUAAUUAUUAAAAUAAUAAUCAUUGCCUUCAUGUCUACCAGGAGCGCAAAGGAUACCGACGGUGGCUGGCCAAAACAGGAACCAUAAGGGAACUGACCAUACUAAGCCGCGUAAUCCGACAAAGACGAGCCACUCCAUCCAGCGAAAAACAAUAAACUUAAAGUGGUAUCUAGGCUUGGCACGAAGCACUUCCCUAAGCAAAAAGUUUUCCGGCCACCACCCAAAGUAAAUAGGCUUUACAAGUCCGGAACGUAAAUCACCCUGUACCAAAAUUGACUCAACCCAGUACGUGACAAUAGCUUGAACGAAAUUGGUUACAGCGGCAUCACCAGAGAGUGUAUCGGGAAGACGCCAAAGACGGACGGAAGUCUCGGUCUUCUUAUACAUACCAUAUGCAAUGGCAAACUCAAUACCUCCCGUGAUAAUAAAGGAACCACAUGCAACAAUGAUUAAAUAAACUAUACGAGGAACAUGAAUGUUAUGUCUGUAAAAGAAAGAAUCUUCAUUGAUGGAUAAUCCCUCAUCAAAAGGCUGACGACCACGAUUAAUGUGAAGCAAAUCAAUGUCCGAAGUAUUCUUAACAGUAGGCUUCUUUUUGUUGGAAAAGUAUUUCUUCCAGUAGUCGGAAGUAAAGACGGCAGGCGCCAUUCGGAGGAAAUUAGUGACGAAUUACUUACUUCCGGUGAAUAUUAAGUAAACAGCAGGCAACGAGAUCGUAAAGAACAGAUAUGUUUUAAACGACAAGAAUAAGUUGAAGAUCGAAUGAACACAACUUGGGAAGAUAAAAAAUCACGUAAAUAGAAGUUAAU